UGAGCUCAACUAACAACUUCUACCGAGGACCCCUGGACCAACUUGCUGACCCCUUCACUGGUCUACAGUGUUCUCCUCUGGAGGACACUACAACUACAGGUCCCCUUCUUUGCCCCUAUCCAGCAGGAAGUAGCUACAGCAGUCAUCACCCAAUUCCCAACAGCAGUUGGGCUGUCCUGUUUAGAGUGGGGAUUGAGAGGUGAAGCCAGCUGGGCUUCUGGGUCAGGUGGGGACUUGGAGAACUUUUGUGUCUAGCUAAAGGAUUGUAAAUGCACCAAUCAACACUCUGUAAAAACACACCAAUCAGCACUCUGUAAAAUGGACCAAUCAGCAGGACAUGGGCAGGGCCAAAUAAGGGAAUAAAAGCUGGCCACCCGAGCCAGCAGCAGCAACCUGCUGGGGUCCCCUUCCACACUGGAAGCUUUGUUCUUUUGCUCUUCACAAUAAAUCUUGCUGCUGCUCACUCUUUGGGUCCGCACUACCUUUAGGAGCUAUAACACUCAUUGCAAAGGGUUGUGGCUUCACUCUUCAAGUCAGCAAGACCACGAACCCACUGGGAGGAACAAUGUACCACCUUUAAGAGCUCUAACACUCACUGAGAAGGUCUGCAGCUUCACUCCUGAAGUCAAGUGAGACCACGAACCCACUGGAAUGAAGAAACUCCAGACACGUCUGACCAUCUGAAGGAACAAACUCUGGGCACACCAUCUUUAAGAACUGUAACAGUCACCGCGAGGGUCUGCAGCUUCAUUCUUGAAGUCAGCGAGACCAAGAACCCACCGGAAGGAACCAAUUCUGGACAUAUUAAUACAUGAGAAAGAAGAGACAGAUUCAGUGGCCUCAUGCUGUCUUUAUUGGCUCUUGUUUUUUGGAAAGCUGAGUCUCCCCUGUGUCUACAAGUAUUGCUUUUUUGCCUUUUAAAAACUUUAAAUUAUCAUUUUGGACUUACAGUUACCUGGAUUCUGUUUUGUGAAGCUCCAUGAGCUAGAGCUUGAAAAUUCAAUGUAAAUUUCAAGAGAAUAUUCUCAUGCCAGAUGUGUGGGCCACUCAGAGACUUCACAAAUGCCCAGUGCCAUGACCAGAGACAUUGAAACUGAAAACCAGGAUAAGAAGUUGAUGACUUCACUCUGUGGACAGCUCUAUGAGAACAAGACUCCACAUCAUAAUGAGACUCUUAGUCCCUUAAUUCUUUCUGGCUUAUGCCUACCUCUUUCGCUUGGCAAGAUGAUGCUAUAAUUAAAAUUUCACAAUCAAUGGCUUCUGUGAGAAACUUGAUGGAGUGUUGGAUCAUUCAUAUCAAACCCAAAUCUUUUAUGACCUAAGGGAUCCUCCAGUUCACCUGGUGGCUAAUGUUAGCAACAGCUUUAAAGCAACUGCUUCAAAUUAUAUGAAUGAUCUCUUUAUAUAGCAUUAGACUUCUAGACCCACAUGUUCUCACUGCCUGUUUCAAUUUAAUCCAGCCUUGGGAUGCUUGAUAAUAGAUUUGCUACAUACUAGCUGAAUAGAAAGGAGUCUUGCAGUUGCUAAUAUUUCUUGUUGCACGUGGAUGAAUACGUCAAGUACUGUAGUGACUCAGCUGCAAAAAUUAACAAACAAGCUACUUGGUUAAAGCAGGUAGAAUCCUAAUCUGGCUUUUUCUUUAGUCUAUUUAAUUUUAGUUGAUUUGGUUCCUGAGCACUCUGGCUGAGAAGCACACUUCAAACUCUUGGUAUUAUACUCCUUAUAGUCAUAAUACUUUGUAGAAUAGAGGCUGCAUGAUUCAUGAAUUAUGAAUAAAAG
Molecule: long non-coding RNA, 1779 nt
Filed under: Homo sapiens (human)
Lineage: Eukaryota; Metazoa; Chordata; Mammalia; Primates; Hominidae
Description: HSALNT0042362
Source: RNAcentral